CUUAGGUGAUCCACCCGCCUCGGCCUCCCAAAAUGCUGGGAUUACAGGUGUGAGCCACCAUGCCCAGCCCUCUGGUUUUGAUUUAAGUUUGGGUCUCUGUGAGGCAAGAGUCCCAGAGUCCUUGACCCUCAAAGGGACAACUCAGCCAGUGGCACCAUAGUUUGUAACAAAUAUGAAGAUGCGGCCCUGUGUCAGUCAGGCAGCCAGUACUAAGGUGACUGCCUGGAGUUUGGCCAAUUGUGUUGACCCUUGAGUCCUGUCCUUCACUGGGGACAUUCUGACUGAGAGAUGGAAAGCAGCCAUCAUCCACUGAGCUUCCUCAUUCUUACAAUGGUUGGCAGUGUGGUUCCUACCAUCUGUGUUCACUCAGCUAAUCCCAGGGGCUCUCCAGGUAGCCACGAGGUCUGAGAGAAGGCUUUUGGCCACCUCAAGUUUUUGGGUUUUGUCUCAGGCUGAUAAGAGGAAGUGGUGGCGGCAGGGUAGAGACGGGGUUUUCACCGUGUUAGCCAGGAUGGUC
RNAcentral lists this long non-coding RNA (517 nucleotides) under Homo sapiens (human). RNAcentral describes it as "HSALNT0379102". Lineage: Eukaryota; Metazoa; Chordata; Mammalia; Primates; Hominidae. The record is from RNAcentral.